GUCCACGCCGUAAACGAUGGGCACUAGAUGCUUGGGGGAGCGACCCCCUGAGUGUCGUCGCUAACGCAGUAAGUGCCCCGCCUGGGGAGUACGGCCGCAAGGCUGAAACUCAAAGGAAUUGACGGGGGCCCGCACAAGCGGUGGAGCAUGUGGUUUAAUUCGACGCAACGCGAAGAACCUUACCUAGGCUUGACAUGCAGGAGAAACGCCUGAGAAACCAGGCGCCCUCUUCGGAGUUCCUGCACAGGUGCUGCAUGGCUGUCGU
This 265-nucleotide ribosomal RNA is filed under the name uncultured bacterium. RNAcentral describes it as "partial 16S ribosomal RNA". It matches the Rfam family "Bacterial small subunit ribosomal RNA", at positions 793 to 1055 of the family's 1533-position model. The record is from RNAcentral.